AGCUUUUAGGGUUGCUCUCAGUUCGCCGGACGGCCGCCAGAGUGUGCUGCCGCGCAGGACCAAGCCUCACUCGCGCUGCAACCAGUGGACACGCCACGUCGCGUUCGGAUUCGACGCCUCGCAGAGCCACCCCCGUAACACGUAAAGCCUGAAUCGAGCGCGAACGGAUCCACCCUCGUAUACACUUUUUCACAAUUUUUUCAACUUAUAAGCAACAACUCCAAAUCGCUGUGACUGUUUUGUGUUAGAGGGGCGUCUGACGUUGUUUAAUCGCACAUCAACACCCUCGGAGUUGCCUUGAAAAAUCAGACCUUAACAAUCCAUUUUUCCAGUCUUCACUAAAUCCAACUUGUAUCGUCUCCUUGCAUCCUUGCCACUUUGCCACUUUGCCACUUUGCCACUUCCCCCUCCCCGCCCCAUGGACCACCGUGAGUACGCGAGUGACGGCAUCUUUGAAUGCAUUCUCUUCCCGUACGUUCCAUGUACUCUGUGUGCUUUUUGCUGGCAUUACCAAAUCUUCAUUGUCGGUCAUUGUUUAUCCGAAGAUGAGUAACUCAGCCGGAAGCAUUGUUCCUGGUGCCUGGGGUUUUUGUGACCAGUGAACCCUGCGGAUUCCACUUCUGGGAGGAUUCUUCUCGUCGUUUACAAAUGUGCGGAAUCGUCUGCGACAAAUACGGAAACCACCUAGAUCUACGGUCCAUUGUGCAAUCGCUCGGGAAGCUCGUUUCUUUUUAGAAGAAGAGAAAAAAAAUAGCAAAACGUCAGAGCGCUCCGUUAGAAUUACCGGAAAAUAUGCAUUCAUGAUUUUCUAUAAAAAAAUUUGAAUACCGUUAAACUAAAUUGACAAAAAUGCGUGAAUGAAUAAAAUGGAAUGUAAAAAGCGAUAAAAAGAGCCAAUGAAGUCUAACGAUGCGCGAGUCAAAAUCAUCGCGAUAAAAUAAAAUUUGUCCUAGGUUAUUCUCCGUCGACUCCACGUGCGCAGGAUUCGUGCACGAAGAAGAACGAAUUGAAAGUCGAGAGAAGCUCAAGUAUGUAGAAACUCGUUGAGGCGCAACGCACGCAUCCCGCCUAAAGAAGAUCGGCCGACGUUCCGCGAUGUAACUUGCUGGCAAUGCUGAAGUUUUUCGUCGGUGCGCCGGCAGCCCCCGACACGUCGUGCGGACUGCGGACGGGAACGCACGGAAAUGCCUCGACCGGCCGAUAAGUUCUCGCGUCGUAACGUCUCCUGCACCGGCGGGAGAGAAACGUUCUAAUAAGCCGAGCAUCGAGACACGUCGAAGGAGACUCGCGUGCCGAAUUUAGCUGCGUCGUUUCGUACGCACUUAAAGUCGGACGGCUCUGCAUAUGGUUGUGACAAUUAACGGGCUCAGCCUCGUACUGUGCAGCAUGCAAUAUCGUAAUUUCGUCUAAAGCGACACAAGUCACGGGGUUAAUUGCGCGAAUCGCGUUAUUGAGCUCUCAAUCGGCGACGAUAGGAUCGAACAUUCGGGUGGCUAGAUUUCCCGCUGGAGACGAGGAUUAAUUGAAAAAAGCCUGAGCCAUCAUGUCGAAGUUAUGACGCGUUCACAAUCGACCGUGCGCCCGAGACUAGCAAGAAGAGGGCAGCCUGAGAUCCGGAGGACAUGUUCUCGGCGUAGUGGCGCGCAUGGGGGUGGCUGCACCCGGGGUUAACGCGAGGGGCUGUAGGCGGAAUUCAAAGAAAUGAUAGGCACGCGGAAUUAUUAGUGGGUGCAGUUGCGGUGAGGAGCGCAGGGGGUGCUCGAUGCUGCCGCUCGGCGGCGGCGGCGGCGGGAGGGAAGCGGAGGGGAAUUCGCAAGGAUCAAACUGGGCAAGAAUGUCGAAGGGCUCGCGAUACUGCCAGCUGCGCCCUCGAAGGAUGCACGUGCGCCUGAUCGUCGCCAUCUUCUGGAUCCACGCAGCUCUCGUGUGCACCGGACAGAAGCCAAUAAAUCUCGGUGGCGUCAAGAAACGUGACGUCUACAUUGCCGGUUUCUUUCCGUACGGGAGACACGUGCCGGAGAGUCACAUUGGGCGCGGCGUGAUGCCUGCGGUCAAGUUGGCCGUGGACCAUAUCAACGAAGAUCCGGCGAUGCUCAGGAAUUAUCGGCUGCACAUGUGGUGGAACGAUACCGAGUGCAACGCAGCGGUGGGAGUGAAAGCCUUCUUCGACAUGAUGCACAGUGGACCGCACAAGGUGAUGCUGUUCGGCGCAGCCUGCACUCAAGUCACGGACCCGAUAGCAAAAGCUUCAAAACAUUGGCGACUCACUCAGCUAAGCUAUGCAGACACUCACCCGAUGUUCACCAGCGACAGCUUUCCCAAUUUCUUCAGGGUGGUACCUUCCGAGAAUGCAUUUAAUGCGCCACGAGUCGCCCUCCUGAUGCAUUUCAAUUGGACCAGAGUCGGCACAAUCUAUCAGAAUGAGCCACGAUAUGCACUGGCGCACAAUAGACUGGUGGCCGAUCUAGACGACAACAAGAUGGAGGUCGUGGAGACGCAGAGCUUUGCGACGGAAGUGACGACAGCCCUAGAGAAGCUCAAGGAGAAGGACGUCCGGAUAAUACUGGGAAAUUUCGACGAGUCCUGGGCUAGGCAAAUUUUCUGUAAGGCUUUCAAAUUCGGCAUGUUUGGAAGGAAGUAUCAGUGGGUAAUAAUGGGGACCUACGGAGAAGAAUGGUGGAUGCGGCCCGGUGGCGGCUGCGCCCCAUCCGAACUGGCCGAAGCUUUGCACGGUGCCAUCUUGACUGACCUGCUUCCACUUUCUACGGAGCAGCAGAUUACGAUUUCUGGGAUCACUCCGGACGAGUACAGGAUCGAGUACGACUCGAGACGCGGGACCGAGUACUCGAGGUUUCACGGGUACACCUACGACGGGAUCUGGGCCGUCGCCCUGGCGAUUCAGCACGUCGCGCGAAGGAUACGACACUUUCGUCGCAAUCAGACUGUCGCCGACUUUAAGUAUCGCGACGAGCUGUGGGAGCGACUCUUCUUGGAGGCACUGAGAAACACGAGCUUCGAGGGCGUCACCGGUCCCGUAAGAUUCUAUGACAACGAGAGGAAGGCGUAUAUCUUAUUGAAGCAAUUUCAGAAUGGCAACGAAGUGAAAGUUGGGGAGUACAAUGGGGUGACGGGGAAUCUGGACCUGAGCCGCGGUCAGCCUCUCGUGUGGCGUGGGAGAUCACCGCCAAAGGACAGGACGCUACACAUAAUCGAGCACUCGAUGGUGAACAUCACGAUUUACGCGGCGCUUGCAUCAGCGGCGAGUCUCGGUAUCGUCAUGGCAGCCAUCUUCCUUGCCAUAAAUAUCAAAUACAGGAAUCAGAGGUACAUAAAAAUGUCAUCGCCCCACCUGAACAACCUCAUUAUCGUCGGGUGCAUGCUGACUUACAGCAGCGUCAUCUUUCUCGGCCUGGACUCCCAGUUGUCGAGCGUCACCGCCUUCCCCUACAUCUGCACAGCAAGAGCCUGGCUCCUAAUGGCCGGUUUCUCUUUGGCCUUCGGCUCGAUGUUCUCGAAAACAUGGCGAGUGCACUCCAUCUUCACCGACGUCAAACUCAACAAGAAGGUAAUCAAGGAUUAUCAGCUGUUCAUGGUCGUGGGCGUACUCCUAGUCAUCGAUCUGGCAAUCAUGACCACUUGGCAGGUGGCCGAUCCCUUUUACCGCGAAACCAAGCAAAUGGAGCCAUACCCUCACCCUUCCAGCGAGGACAUCAUCAUCAUACCGGAGAACGAAUACUGUCAGAGCAACAGGAUGACCGUCUACUUGGGAAGCAUAUACGCUUACAAAGGUCUCCUCAUGAUUUUCGGUGCUUUCUUGGCCUGGGAAACGCGGCACGUCAGUAUACCGGCACUGAACGACAGUAAAUACGUCGGCAUGAGCGUCUACAACGUCGUGAUAAUGUGCGUAACCGGAGCGGCCAUAAGUUUUGUCUUGGCCGACAAGCAGGACGCCAUGUUCAUCAUGCUGGCGGUUUUUAUCAUAUUCUGCAGCACAGCCACUUUGUGCCUCGUCUUCGUGCCGAAGCUCAUAGAAUUACGUAGGAAUCCUCAGGGCGCGAUAGACAAGAGGAUCAGGGCGACACUGAGGCCCAUGUCGAAGACCCGUAGGGAUUCAUCCGUCAGCGAAUUGGAGGAACGAUUGAAAGAGGCCACUGCAGCCAAUCAAAAGUUUCGCAAGCAAUUAUUGGAGAAAGAAUCGGAGCUGCAGAUGUACUUGAGAAGACUGGAGAGCGACAGUGUGGCUGACACGCAGGAGACCAUGGACAGAUUGGCAGUUCCGCGGCAGGAGUCAAUUAUCAAAAGAGAAGAGCCCACUGUCCAGCGGCAUGGCACGCAGAACCACAAAGGGCCGUCGCUCACUACAGAAACCACGGACAUCUCCAUGUCCAUGUGUAGCUUAAACUCCACGACGACCUCUCAACCGGAAUUAGACUACGUGAAUCUGAGUGCGGCAGACAACCACGCGACGAAGAAGAAGACGUCAUUCUCAAAGAUGCCGGCCGUCGCCAUCGAAAGCGAGCGCGUCCCCCUGGUACAGGCGGGAGCGACCCUGGCCAACAAUAAAUCGUCAAACCUCGCGUCGGCCCUUAAGCAUACGGGGGACAGUGCUCCGCGCAGGAAGAGCCGUUCGGUGGAUGGAAAGGAGUGCGAACCUCUGAUAGCAAAGAGUCCCGAGCCGAAGCUUAUGGGCCAGACGAACGUGGAGUUCGUGCCGGAGGCCGUCGAGGAGUCGGAGUCUAUCGUCCUCGAGGAAACGGAGAUACCCAGAGACGCAAAGAGUCAGAGAGCGAACGACGUCCUGGAGCAUCGGUCCAGAUUGCCCACUCCGCCCCCUCCCAAGAACGUCUCCUUCGGGGAACCUCAGGAGCAGAGUUACUUCGAGCAAACGAUACUACCGCCACCUGUCCAGUUCGUCCCGAAGCACCGUCACGCGGGAUCCACCAGUGUGUCCGGGCAUCAGAGCUCCCUGAGACGAAGAUCCUCCGUCAAGAACAACGGCGUAGCCCACUCGCACCAGGAACUCCUCGAGAAGCGUCGCACCAGUGUUCCAGUGAACUCGAUAAGCUACAUCUCGACGGAGAACGUCAGAGCCGGCGCCAUUGACGAAUCCGUCGGUUCCCUCGACAGGGCUUACGUGAUCGGGGAGUGCGGCCACCGCAGAGCCUUCGCUCAACCCAGCACGGGAUACAGGUGCGAGAAGCACGGCGGCGGCAGAGGUCACAGCCACACGAUGCUCAACGGCGGCUCCAACGAGACUCCGACGCCGCGGAGACUCCGGAACCACUACGAGGCGCACAACGCAAGCUCGCCCAGUGUUCCGGCGACGGUCAACGCCAGCUUCUCGGAUACAGAAAAGUACGAGGAGUCAAUGUCGACGAUCAUCCAGCGUUCGGUGUCGGAAAAAUCGCGAGAAAAGUGUCAGCGCGGACGCGCGACUUUGGGACACGCGGCGGCCGAGUGUCCGCACCGGCGGACGGCGGCGCGGCGUUUGCGCGAGUGCAGGCACACGGAGUCGAAGUUACGGCAGCAGGCGCGACUGGACUACGUGCAGAGCUCGCCGAACGUUGCAACGAUACACAACAGCAAAUUCGCGAGCGCAAAUCCACGUGGCGGCGGCGGCGGCGGCGGCGGCGCCGGGAUCGGCGUCAUUGCCGGGAGCGGAGGCGCCGGAGGUGUCGGUAGUGUCGGUGCGUCUAUCGGGAUCGUCGGUGGCUCGACGGCGAACGUCUCCAAAAUGUACAGUGCUGUGUCGGACGGUGAACUGCUGGACCUCGCGAUCCUGCCGAUCUUUCAGAAGCUGCUUAGCGAAAGGCACAAAGGCACGACCCGCGGCGGUUACGGGGCGAGCAUAGCCAGCUGCCCGAAUAUAUCAGUAAAGUGCGACAUAGUCGAGUAUCUUUAACGAUCCGGUUGCGAGUUUAUUAUUUACCGACUGAUUCACCGUCUUGGGAUUGCACGUGCUCUUGGUCGUUCUCUCCUUACUCUCGCGAAUGAUACUUCGAGUCGAACCUCAAGAUUCGACGUUCAAUAGCCAAGAAUCGAAACAAUUCCUUCGACUCUUAACCAUCGAGUCUCGCGCUUCAAACAGAAUGGAAAUGAGCUGUGCAACUGAAAGACUUGCGGUUCAAAAGAAAGAAAAAGAGAGAGAGAGAGAGAGAGAGAGAGAGCGCGCGCAGAAAGUAGGAAAUCUGGCACGUUCGCCCAUAUUGACCUCACGAAAGAUGCAUAUAACUUACCCGAUGUAACGGGAAGAAACGUAGCAUCUCAGCUAGUCCCUUCUGUCCUCUAAAUUUGGUCCUUUUCUCUGAAGUUCCACCGGCAUCCAGUAGGUGGCAGAAUGUCCCGUCAGUGACUGAAUCGAAAACAAGCGUGAAUCUACAUCUUGGUGCGCAGGCAGACUUUCCACUUAUGUCGCUGACUCCCAAUGACACACGCGGAAUAUCGAGAGACACCUUGGAUGUCACGAUCGAUCCCAAUAAGCGAUGGUUUUAUUACGUUCACAUUUUGCAAAAUGUUGUCCUUGCCGUCCGCUCGUCCAGUUCCACAUCCAUCCAGGAAAGCUGAGCCAUUCUGACGAAAGUCUUUCCAUGGUUGGUCCUCGCGUAUUACCGGAAGUCGCUGCGCAAAUUCCUCAAGGAAUUCCAUGAACGGAAGCCAAGGACACGCGGUUCGUAUGUCCACUGUUAAAUUAUAUCGUACCUUGUGUUUCGUGCUGUGAAGUCGGCCAUUUUCCAUUCGAAUCUUCAUAUCGAAUAAUCUCCGGAUCUGCAAAAGUUCCAAUGAGUUUCCCUUUUCUUUUUUUUCCGGAUCUUUGUGCCGGAAAUACAAAAGCCUCGAGUAGCCACCGGAAGGAAGGCGGCUCUCCGGCACAAUAUAAAAUACGGUGACGAUUAGGAACUAUUUGUCGUACAAUCUCUAUCGAUCACUGUGUACUGCAGUACGUAGUUAGCUAGAUAAUUAAACGAAAAGUCAGGUUGAAAACAAAGUAAUGUCGAUUACGCGGCGCGAGGUUGGAUGUGAGAAUGAUUCGCGACUGGAACGAUCGAACUCGCCCCAAGAUCAUCGACUGCGAUUUUACAUGGAAACUGGGACGGAGUUUUCGAGAAUUUUCUAAAAUUUGAACGAAGGUGCUGCUGAUAGAUAUUUUCUUCGUUCCACAGGAAGGAUCCCGGUAAAUAUCAUUAUUAUUGUAAAGGACAGGGGCAACUUCGAUCUUCCUUAAGCCAGCUCCACACUGUCCGAGCCUGCUUGUGAUCUUAGUAUAAGAAUUCCUCUUUUUUUCCAUUUUCAUCCGAGGAACAAAUGGGGAGAGCGACUCCUCGGUAUUGCACGCGUGUCAACGUAGCUGCAUUAAGGUAUGAAAGUGCAUAUUUGCGCAGCCUACAUCCGCGAUCUACUACCACCAACAAAUAAUCGUAAUUUUUCGAUUUCGCCGUACAGACUUUUAUACACAUGUCAUCCUCAAUAAAGUUCCUCGUAGAACUUAAUAAUUACGGCUUCAGAUUCCCGAUGCGGGGCAUUGGAGGUUCUACUAUGGUUAAGAGAGAUGCGAGAAAAGAUUAAGGAGAGAGAGAGAGAGAGAGAGAGAGAGAGAGAGAGAGAGAGAGAGAGAGAGAGGAACAAGAGAAAAUAAGAAAACUCGGGGAAAUUUGUAAGCGAUACACAUGAGAACGGCCCGAAGGACUGGGUCGAAUAGCUGAGGACUUGACGGAGCUGGCGAAUUCAAAGUGCGAAUGGAAACCGACAGUGAGAGUGUGUGUGUGUGUGUGUGUGUGAAUAAAACGAAUACGGAAUGAACUACGAAAACACGACUGGGCAGAGUAUAUGUAUGUAUAGUUAAAUAGGGCGAAGCACUAAUGAUAAUGGUCAAAUUAUGGGAAUAUAGGAAUAAAAAGCUGGUCAAGUGUGAGAGAAGUGAGCAACGAUGAUUUGCCCGAUACGCCAGCAUUGUUGAAACAUUUAAUAGAUGUAUACAAAAAACGUUUUUAACUAUUACCGAUCUUUAAUAAAAAAUUUGGUCUAGCGAGAA
This is an RNA transcript of Cephus cinctus (wheat stem sawfly), 8029 nucleotides long. It is a transcript of the gene named gamma-aminobutyric acid type B receptor subunit 2, with no coding region annotated. The record is from RefSeq and is a predicted model, not a curated record. Lineage: Eukaryota; Metazoa; Arthropoda; Insecta; Hymenoptera; Cephidae. The transcript is spliced from 21 exons.